UUGAACGCUGGCGGCAUGCCUUACACAUGCAAGUCGAACGGCAGCACGGGUGCUUGCACCUGGUGGCGAGUGGCGAACGGGUGAGUAAUGUAUCGGAACGUACCAUUCAGUGGGGGAUAACUAUCCGAAAGGAUAGCUAAUACCGCAUAUUCUGUGAGCAGGAAAGCAGGGGAUCGCAAGACCUUGCGCUGAUUGAGCGGCCGAUAUCAGAUUAGCUAGUUGGUGAGGUAAAGGCUUACCAAGGCGACGAUCUGUAGCGGGUCUGAGAGGAUGAUCCGCCACACUGGAACUGAGACACGGUCCAGACUCCUACGGGAGGCAGCAGUGGGGAAUUUUGGACAAUGGGCGCAAGCCUGAUCCAGCCAUGCCGCGUGAGUGAAGAAGGCCUUCGGGUUGUAAAGCUCUUUCGGCCGGGAAGAAAUCGCAUGGGUUAAUACCCUGUGUGGAUGACGGUACCGGAAUAAGAAGCACCGGCUAACUACGUG
This 485-nucleotide ribosomal RNA is filed under the name uncultured bacterium. Its description in RNAcentral is "bacterial SSU rRNA". It matches the Rfam family "Bacterial small subunit ribosomal RNA", at positions 30 to 507 of the family's 1533-position model. The record is from RNAcentral.